RNAcentral lists this ribosomal RNA (801 nucleotides) under uncultured bacterium. RNAcentral describes it as "bacterial SSU rRNA". It matches the Rfam family "Bacterial small subunit ribosomal RNA", at positions 67 to 848 of the family's 1533-position model. The record is from RNAcentral.
CGAAAGUUCCCUUCGGGGAACAAGUAGAGUGGCGAAAGGGCGAGUAAUGCAUGGGUAACGUACCUUUAGCAUGGGGAUAGCCGUGGGAAACUGCGGGUAAUACCCAAUAAUACCAUCGUUUCAUAAGGUAUGAUGGUCAAAGGUGGGGAUCUUCGGACCUACCGGCUUUAGAGCGGCCCAUGUCCUAUCAGCUAGUUGGCGGGGUAACGGCCCACCAAGGCAACGACGGGUACCGGGACUGAGAGGUUGGCCCGGCGCAUUGGGACUGAGACACUGCCCAGACUCCUACGGGAGGCUGCAGCAACGAAUAUUCCGCAAUGGACGAAAGUCUGACGGAGCGACGCCGCGUGCGGGAAUAAGCCCUUCGGGGUGUAAACCGCUGUCAGGGAUCACCAAGCAAUGGGGCCUAAUACGCCCCGGCGUUGAGGAAUCCCAAAGGAAGCCACGGCUAACUUCGUGCCAGCAGCCGCGGUAAUACGAAGGUGGCAAGCGUUGUUCGGAAUCACUGGGCUUAAAGAGCACGUAGGCGGCCUGUCAAGCGUCUUGUGAAAUCCCUCGGCUCAACCGAGGAAUGGCUGGGCGAACUGGCAGGCUUGAGGCAGGUAGGGGCACACGGAACUCUUGGUGGAGCGGUGGAAUGCGUAGAUAUCAAGAGGAACGCCGGUGGCGAAGGCGGUGUGCUGGGCCUGUCCUGACGCUGAGGUGCGAAAGCCAGGGGAGCGAACGGGAUUAGAUACCCCGGUAGUCCUGGCCCUAAACGAUGUCCACUAGGUCGAAGGUUCUCUGACGGAGUUUCGGCCG